Molecule: ribosomal RNA, 253 nt
Filed under: uncultured bacterium
Lineage: Bacteria
Description: partial 16S ribosomal RNA
Rfam family: Bacterial small subunit ribosomal RNA
Source: RNAcentral
UACGAAGGGUGCAAGCGUUACUCGGAAUUACUGGGCGUAAAGCGUGCGUAGGUGGUUCGUUAAGUCUGAUGUGAAAGCCCUGGGCUCAACCUGGGAAUGGCAUUGGAAACUGGCGACCUAGAGUGCGGUAGAGGGUAGUGGAAUUCCCGGUGUAGCAGUGAAAUGCGUAGAGAUCGGGAGGAACAUCCGUGGCGAAGGCGACUACCUGGACCAGCACUGACACUGAAGCACGAAAGCGUGGGGAGCAAACAGG